RNAcentral lists this ribosomal RNA (263 nucleotides) under uncultured bacterium. RNAcentral's name for it is "partial 16S ribosomal RNA". It matches the Rfam family "Bacterial small subunit ribosomal RNA", at positions 524 to 786 of the family's 1533-position model. The record is from RNAcentral.
UACGUAGGUGGCGAGCGUUGUCCGGAAUUACUGGGCGUAAAGGGCGCGCAGGCGGGUAAUUAAGUCAAGUGUGAAACCCCCGGGCUUAACCCGGGGCUUGCACGUGAUACUGGUUAUCUUGAGUGCUGGAGAGGGCAGUGGAAUUCCUAGUGUAGCGGUGAAAUGCGUAGAUAUUAGGAGGAACACCAGUGGCGAAGGCGGCUGCCUGGACAGUAACUGACGCUGAGGCGCGAAAGCGUGGGGAGCAAACAGGAUUAGAUACC